AACGAACGCUGGCGGCAUGCCUAACACAUGCAAGUCGAACGAGAUCUUCGGGUCUAGUGGCGCACGGGUGCGUAACGCGUGGGAAUCUGCCCUUGGGUUCGGAAUAACUUCGGGAAACUGAAGCUAAUACCGGAUGAUGACGUAAGUCCAAAGAUUUAUCGCCCAAGGAUGAGCCCGCGUAGGAUUAGCUAGUUGGUGAGGUAAAGGCUCACCAAGGCGACGAUCCUUAGCUGGUCUGAGAGGAUGAUCAGCCACACUGGGACUGAGACACGGCCCAGACUCCUACGGGAGGCAGCAGUGGGGGAAUAUUGGACAAUGGGCGAAAGCCUGAUCCAGCAAUGCCGCGUGAGUGAUGAAGGCCUUAGGUUGUAAAGCNCUUUGCCCGGGAUGAUAAUGACAGUACCGGGAGAAUAAGCUCGGCUAACUCCGUGCCAGCAGCCGCGGUAAAGU
Molecule: ribosomal RNA, 450 nt
Filed under: uncultured bacterium
Lineage: Bacteria
Description: bacterial SSU rRNA
Rfam family: Bacterial small subunit ribosomal RNA
Source: RNAcentral